This 387-nucleotide ribosomal RNA is filed under the name uncultured bacterium. Its description in RNAcentral is "bacterial SSU rRNA". It matches the Rfam family "Bacterial small subunit ribosomal RNA", at positions 28 to 414 of the family's 1533-position model. The record is from RNAcentral.
GACGAACGCUGGCGGCGUGCUUAACACAUGCAAGUCGAGCGGUAAGGCCCUUUCGGGGGUACGACGAGCGGCGAACGGGUGAGUAACACGUGGGUGACCUGCCCUCAGCUCUGGGAUAAGCCUGGGAAACCGGGGUCUAAUACCGGAUAUGACUCCAUGACGCAUGUUGUGGGGUGGAAAGCCUUGUGCGGCUGAGGAUGGGCCCGCGGCCUAUCAGCUUGUUGGUGGGGUGAUGGCCUACCAAGGCGACGACGGGUAGCCGGCCUGAGAGGGCGACCGGCCACACUGGGACUGAGACACGGCCCAGACUCCUACGGGAGGCAGCAGUGGGGAAUCUUGCGCAAUGGGCGAAAGCCUGACGCAGCGACGCCGCGUGAGGGAUGACGG